UGGAAAAGAAAAUACUCAAUCGGAGUACCAUUUAGUAGCUUGUAAGGAUAAAGGAAGGAAAAUAUCAUUGUUUAUGCCUGGUCAAAUGUUUUUUACCCUACAGAUUUGAGUUACAGAAUACCACUGCCCAGUUAUUGUUUCAUAUAAGAAAUCUCUUAGAUAAUGAGAUUUUCAAUAUCAGUAUAUUUUAACUUUAUUUUUACUUUUAAGGUUGAUUGUAUAUCCUCCACCACCUACUAAGGGGGGAUUAGGAGUAACUAAUGAAGAUCUGGAGUGUUUAGAAGAAGGAGAGUUUCUUAAUGAUGUAAUCAUUGAUUUUUACCUUAAGUAUCUUAUAUUGGAGAAGGCAUCAGAUGAACUUGUUGAACGAAGUCACAUUUUUAGUAGCUUUUUCUAUAAAUGCUUGACAAGAAAGGAAAAUAAUUUAACAGAAGAUAAUCCAAAUCUUUCGUAAGUUAAUCCUCUAAUGUACUUAAGUUUUAAGAGAAAAUAUACUAUUUUUGAUGCUCCUAGUAAAGUGGCUUCUUUAUAGUAUUUCCUGAAGUAGGCAGUACUACCAUUUGUGCAGGUCCUGGGUCUGUUUGCCAUGAGAGCCAUUUCUCAUCCUUCCACUGUUUUGCUGCCCAUGACAAGGAGGCUGACGCUUGCAGUCUGCAUUUCCAGUUGCAUGUCCCUGGGGGAUAUCCUGGAAGUUGGAGGGCAAGGAAGAAAGAAGCUAGGUUAUUUCUUCCCUACUCUCUUUGCAUUGGGAAAUGAUUCUGACAGUGGCUGUAUUUCCUCUGUGAGUCCACCUCUCACAGGACAGACCUGCUGUAACUCCAGCUUCCAUC
RNAcentral lists this small RNA (830 nucleotides) under Pongo abelii (Sumatran orangutan). Its description in RNAcentral is "retained intron". The record is from RNAcentral. Lineage: Eukaryota; Metazoa; Chordata; Mammalia; Primates; Hominidae.